Molecule: non-coding RNA, 24 nt
Filed under: Arabidopsis thaliana (thale cress)
Lineage: Eukaryota; Viridiplantae; Streptophyta; Magnoliopsida; Brassicales; Brassicaceae
Source: RNAcentral
UUUUGGAUUAAGCUUAAGUAGAUC